This 440-nucleotide ribosomal RNA is filed under the name uncultured bacterium. RNAcentral describes it as "partial 16S ribosomal RNA". It matches the Rfam family "Bacterial small subunit ribosomal RNA", at positions 338 to 795 of the family's 1533-position model. The record is from RNAcentral.
CCUACGGGAGGCAGCAGUGGGGAAUAUUGGACAAUGGGGGUAAGCCUGAACCAGCGACGCCGCGUGAGGGAAGAAGUAUUUCGGUAUGUAAAGCUCUAUCAGCAGGGAAGAAAAUGACGGUACGUGACUAAGAAGCUCCGGCUAACUACGUGCCAGCAGCCGCGGUAAUACGUAGGGGGCAAGCGUUAUCCGGAUUUACUGGGUGUAAAGGGGGAGUAGAGGGUGCAGCAAGUCUGAUGUGAAAGGUCGGGGCCCCACCCCGGGACGGCAUUUGAAACUGUUGAACUGGAGUACAGGAGAGGUAAGCGGAAUUCCUAGUGUAGCGGUGAAAUGCGUAGAUAUUAGGAGGAACACCAGUGGCGAAGGCGGCUUACUGGACUGUAACUGACGUUGAGGCUCGAAAGCGUGGGGAGCAAACAGGAUUAGAUACCCCAGUAGUC